GAUGAACGCUGGCGGCGUGCCUAAUACAUGCAAGUCGAGCGAACGGACGAGAAGCUUGCUUCUCUGAUGUUAGCGGCGGACGGGUGAGUAACACGUGGAUAACCCACCUAUAAGACUGGGAUAACUUCGGGAAACCGGAUCUAAUACCGGAUAAUAUUUUGAACCGCAUGGUUCAAAAGUGAAAGACGGUCUUGCUGUCACUUAUAGAUGGAUCCGCGCUGCAUUAGCUGGUUGGUAAGGUAACGGCUUACCACGGCAACGAUGCAUAGCCGACCUGAGAGGGUGAUCGGCCACACUGGAGCUGAGACACGGUCCAGACUCCUACGGGAGGCAGCAGUAGGGAAUCUUCCGCAAUGGGCGGAAGCCUGACGGAGCAACGCCGCGUGAGUGAUGGAGGUCUUCGGAUCGUAAAACUCUGUUAUUAGGGAAGAACAUAUGUGUAAGUAACUGUGCACAUCUUGACGGUACCUAAUCAGAAAGCCACGGCUAACUACGUG
Molecule: ribosomal RNA, 497 nt
Filed under: uncultured bacterium
Lineage: Bacteria
Description: partial 16S ribosomal RNA
Rfam family: Bacterial small subunit ribosomal RNA
Source: RNAcentral